UUGGCACUAGGAGCCGAUGAAGGACGUGAUAAGCUGCGAUAAGCUUCGGGGAGUUGCACGUAAACUUUGAUCCGAAGAUUUCCGAAUGAGGAAACUCACUUAGAGUAAUGUCUAAGUAUCAUUAAGUAAAUACAUAGCUUAAUGAGGGGAACUCAGGGAACUGAAACAUCUAAGUACCUGAAGGAAGAGAAAGAAAUUCGAUUCCGUAAGUAGCGGCGAGCGAACGCGGAUUAGCCCAAACCAAUAAAGUUUUCUUUAUUGGGGUUGCGGACAUAUCAUAACGAAGAGGUAUCGUAAUUGAAGAGGUUUGGAAAGACCCACCACAGAAGGUAAUAGUCCUGUAUGUUAAACGAGAAGACUUCAGAUAUGAUCCAGAGUACCACGGGACACGUGAAACCCUGUGGGAAGCAGGAGGGACCACCCUCCAAGGCUAAAUACUACCUAGUGACCGAUAGCGUAUAGUACCG
RNAcentral lists this ribosomal RNA (467 nucleotides) under Clostridioides difficile. RNAcentral describes it as "bacterial LSU rRNA". It matches the Rfam family "Bacterial large subunit ribosomal RNA", at positions 33 to 503 of the family's 2925-position model. Lineage: Bacteria; Bacillati; Bacillota; Clostridia; Peptostreptococcales; Peptostreptococcaceae. The record is from RNAcentral.